GGUGAACGCUGGCGGCGUGCCUAAUACAUGCAAGUCGAGCGGACGGACGAGAAGCUCGUUCCUCUGCUGUUAGCGGCGGACGGGUGGGUGACACGUGCAUAACAUACCUAUAUUUCUUGGGGAACUUCGUAGGGCAGGAUCUAAUACCAGAUGAUAUUUCCAACCGGUUGAUUCAAGAGUGCAUGACGGUCUUCCUGUCUCUAUUAGACGGAUCCGCGCUGCAUUAGCUAGUUGGUAAGGUAACGGCUUACCAAGGCAACGAUGCGUAGCUGACCUGAGAGGAUGAUCGGCCACACUGGAACUGAGACACGGUCCAGACUCCUACGGGAGGCAGCAGUGGGGAAUAUUGGACAAUGGGCGAAAGCCUGAUGCAGCAAUGCCGCGUGAGUGAAGAAGGUCUUCGGGUCGUAAAACCCUUUUAUUAGGGAAGAAAAGCAGUGUAUGUAACCGUCGACGUCCUGACGGUACCUAAUGAAAAAGCACCGGCUAACUACGUG
This 497-nucleotide ribosomal RNA is filed under the name uncultured bacterium. RNAcentral's name for it is "partial 16S ribosomal RNA". It matches the Rfam family "Bacterial small subunit ribosomal RNA", at positions 28 to 507 of the family's 1533-position model. The record is from RNAcentral.